UACGAAGGGGGCUAGCGUUGCUCGGAAUCACUGGGCGUAAAGGGUGCGUAGGCGGGUCUUUAAGUCAGGGGUGAAAUCCUGGAGCUCAACUCCAGAACUGCCUUUGAUACUGAAGAUCUUGAGUUCGGGAGAGGUGAGUGGAACUGCGAGUGUAGAGGUGAAAUUCGUAGAUAUUGGGAAGAACACCGGUGGCGAAGGCGGCUCACUGGUCCAUUACUGACGCUGAGGUGCGAAAGCGUGGGGAGCAAACAGG
This 253-nucleotide ribosomal RNA is filed under the name uncultured bacterium. RNAcentral describes it as "partial 16S ribosomal RNA". It matches the Rfam family "Bacterial small subunit ribosomal RNA", at positions 524 to 776 of the family's 1533-position model. The record is from RNAcentral.